AGUGAACGCUGGCGGUAGGCCUAACACAUGCAAGUCGAACGGCAGCACAGUAAGAGCUUGCUCUUACGGGUGGCGAGUGGCGGACGGGUGAGGAAUACAUCGGAAUCUACUUUUUCGUGGGGGAUAACGUAGGGAAACUUACGCUAAUACCGCAUACGACCUACGGGUGAAAGCAGGGGAUCUUCGGACCUUGUGCGAUUGAAUGAGCCGAUGUCGGAUUAGCUAGUUGGCGGGGUAAAGGCCCACCAAGGCGACGAUCCGUAGCUGGUCUGAGAGGAUGAUCGGCCACACUGGAGCUGAGACACGGUCCAGACUCCUACGGGAGGCAGCAGUGGGGAAUAUUGGACAAUGGGCGCAAGCCUGAUCCAGCCAUACCGCGUGGGUGAAGAAGGCCUUCGGGUUGUAAAGCCCUUUUGUUGGGAAAGAAAAGCAGCAGGUUAAUACCCCGCUGUUCUGACGGUACCCAAAGAAUAAGCACCGGCUAACUUCGUG
This 492-nucleotide ribosomal RNA is filed under the name uncultured bacterium. RNAcentral's name for it is "partial 16S ribosomal RNA". It matches the Rfam family "Bacterial small subunit ribosomal RNA", at positions 29 to 507 of the family's 1533-position model. The record is from RNAcentral.